Molecule: ribosomal RNA, 465 nt
Filed under: Vreelandella stevensii
Lineage: Bacteria; Pseudomonadati; Pseudomonadota; Gammaproteobacteria; Oceanospirillales; Halomonadaceae
Description: partial 16S ribosomal RNA
Rfam family: Bacterial small subunit ribosomal RNA
Source: RNAcentral
CCUACGGGAGGCUGCAGUGGGGAAUAUUGGACAAUGGGGGGAACCCUGAUCCAGCCAUGCCGCGUGUGUGAAGAAGGCCCUCGGGUUGUAAAGCACUUUCAGUGAGGAAGAACGCCUGGUGGUUAAUACCCAUCAGGAAAGACAUCACUCACAGAAGAAGCACCGGCUAACUCCGUGCCAGCAGCCGCGGUAAUACGGAGGGUGCGAGCGUUAAUCGGAAUUACUGGGCGUAAAGCGCGCGUAGGUGGCUUGAUAAGCCGGUUGUGAAAGCCCCGGGCUCAACCUGGGAACGGCGUCCGGUGCUGUGGAUCUAGCGGGCAGGAGCGGAAGGGAUGACCCGCGGUGUAGCGGUGUUGCGCGUAGAGGACGGACAGGGGAGAAGUGGCGGAGGCGGAAUGCGGGACUGACGCUGACACGGAGGUGCGACAGCGUAGGGAGCGGACAGGACCAGAUACCCUAGUGGUG